AGAGUUUGAUCCUGGCUCAGGACGAACGCUGGCGGCAUGCCUAACACAUGCAAGUCGAACGGAAUAAGACUGGUCGUAGCGAUACUUUCGGUCUUAUUUAGUGGCGAACGGGUGAGUAACACGUGAGCAACCUGCCUUUUACACAGGGAUAACAGCCGGAAACGGCUGCUAAUACCGGAUAAGACCACACCGGGGCAUCUCGGAGGGGUCAAAGCGUUUAGCGGUAAAAGAUGGGCUCGCGUCCCAUUAGCUAGUUGGUGAGAUAACAGCCCACCAAGGCGACGAUGGGUAGCCGACUUGAGAGAGUGAUCGGCCACAUUGGAACUGAGACACGGUCCAGACUCCUUCGGGAGGCAGCAGUGGGGAAUAUUGGGCAAUGGAGGAAACUCUUACCCAGCAAUGCCGCGUGAAUGAAGAAGGCCUUCGGGUUGUAAAGUUCUUUUAUUGAUGAUAAAGCAAGUGAUAUUAGUCAAUGAAUAAGCCCCGGCUAACUACGUGCCAGCAGCCGCGGUAAUACGUAGGGGGCAAGCGUUGUCCGGAAUUACUGGGCGUAAAGGGUGCGCAGGCGGCUUGGUUAGUCAGAAGUGAAAGUUUGCAGCUUAACUGUAAAAGUGCUUUUGAUACUGCCUGGCUUGAGUCUCGGAGGGGUAAGCGGAAUUCCUAGUGUAGCGGUAAAAUGCGUAGAGAUUAGGAAGAACACCGGCGGCGAAGGCGGCUUACUGGACGAGUACUGACGCUCAUGCACGAAAGCGUGGGAAGCAAACAGGAUUAGAUACCCUGGUAGUCCACGCUGUAAACGAUGAAUACUAGCUGUUGGGGCAACUCAGUAGCGCAGUUAACACAUUAAGUAUUCCGCCUGGGGAGUACGCACGCAAGUGUAAAACUCAAAGGAAUUGACGGGGACCCGCACAAGCAGCGGAGCAUGUGGUUUAAUUCGAUGCAACGCGAAGAACCUUACCAGGCCUUGACAUCCUUUGACAGUCUAAGAGAUUAGAUCUUCCUUCGGGACAAAGUGACAGAUGGUGCAUGGUUGUCGUCAGCUCGUGUCGUGAGAUGUUGGGUUAAGUCCCGCAACGAGCGCAACCCCUGUGGUCAGUUGCCAUCAUUCAGUUGGGCACUCUGGCUAGACUGCCCGUGAAAACGGGAGGAAGGUGGGGAUGACGUCAAAUCAGCAUGCCUCUUACGGCCUGGGCUACACACGUGCUACAAUGGUCAGAACAAAGAGUUGCGAGACUGCGAAGUUAAGCUAAUCUCAAAAAUCUGGUCUCAGUUCAGACUGCAGGCUGCAACCCGCCUGCACGAAGUAGGAGUUGCUAGUAAUCGCGGAUCAGAAUGCCGCGGUGAAUGCGUUCCCGGGUCUUGUACACACCGCUCGUCACACCAUGAGAGUCGGUAACACCCAAAAUCAGUGAGCUAACCGCAAGGAGGCAGCUGCUUAAGGUGGGAUCGGUAAUUGGGGUGAAGUCGUAACAAGGUAACC
Molecule: ribosomal RNA, 1480 nt
Filed under: uncultured rumen bacterium
Lineage: Bacteria
Description: bacterial SSU rRNA
Rfam family: Bacterial small subunit ribosomal RNA
Source: RNAcentral